GUACUGAUAAAAGGUGAAAUUAAUUUUUUAGUGUGUGGAAAUGUAAAAAACGAAGUUUAAAUUGAAGCUAUUAAGGUAAAGAAAUGAACCAGGAUUAGAUACCCUGUUACACUUUAUUUAAAUGGUAAUUACCUGGGUACUAAGCAGUUAUUAUCUUGAAACUCAAAGGAUUUGGCGGUAACUUAGUCUAUUUAGAGGAACCUGUCCUAUAAUCGAUAGUCCACGCAAUAUUUUACUUUAUCUUGUAGAAAACAGUUUGUAUACCGUCAUUAUUAGAUAACUUUAAAAAAAUAUAGAGUUGUUGUAAUAGUAUAGCUAGUAAAUUAGAUCAAGGUGCAGCUUAUGGUAAAGUAGAGAUGGGUUACAAUAUAACGAGUAUAAACGGAGCAAUGAAUGAAUAUUCAUUGUGAAGGUGGAUUUAAGAGUAAAAAGAUUUUAAUAAGAUCUUUUGACUUUAGCUCUAGGUUAUGUACACAUCGCCCGUCGCUCUCGUUAAUUAAAGC
This 503-nucleotide ribosomal RNA is filed under the name Penaeus plebejus. RNAcentral's name for it is "partial 12S ribosomal RNA". The stretch from base 135 to 503 matches the Rfam family "Microsporidia small subunit ribosomal RNA", at positions 752 to 1218 of the family's 1311-position model. The record is from RNAcentral. Lineage: Eukaryota; Metazoa; Arthropoda; Malacostraca; Decapoda; Penaeidae.